AGCAGGUGCUUGGACAAGCCCUGCUAAGUGAGCUAAUUAUUUCAGGAUUUCUCUAAUCCACAGACCCAGACAUCACCCUUUGUUGUUUUGAAGGGGAUUUGGAGAUAUUCAGGGACCUCUCCGAACAAAAUUAUGGAGUCGAUGUUGAUGCGGGCGCUGAUGCCGCUGUGGACCUUGGUCCCCUCCCCCUCCAUCUGCAAGCCUCCCUCCCCCGGGGCUCCUGUCAAUUCCAGCCAAAUUCACUGCUAACGGCUCUCGCGACUGGCUGCACGGUGCAGGGGGCCUGUGUUUUAAUGAAUUGAGGCUCUACUGGGAAAGAGACUGCACGUGUCUGAGGACUUCUCAGACCCCAUCACCUGGACAAAGGGACUUUUAAGAGAGGCCGUCAUUACCCAGGGCCUGAGGGGCUGACACUAUGGAUACUGUGGAUAAGGAAGCAGCUGGAUACUUUGCUUCACUCCUUGUAGGGACUUGAUCCUGCCUCCUGUGAAGAGUGACACCAGUGAGGUCAAGAGAACUGAGAGCCAUAGACCAUUAGGUAUGCGAACCAUACUCAACCUGUUCUCCCUGGGAGAGAAGGUGAUCCAAAGGACUCAGAGAACUUCUGGAACUUCUGGAAGCCAUGCCUUUACAUCUCCCCAAAGCCACAAAGUGAACUCUAUGGUCACACCCUGUUGCCCCCACAGAGGACUCAUGCAGACGUUGAACAAGCUCGCCACCCCUUGAUACAAUAGCUCAAGCUGCAAUGGGGGCUCUGACCCUCAGAGAAAUGGUACAUCACAUCCAAUGGCAGGGGACCAUCUGCUUGUCUCCUCUGCUUUGACUGUGUGGCCACCCAGGUAGGAUGAGAAUGUCCAAAACAAGGAAGGCCAGAAGGUUGGCUUGUCCAUGUUGGCCACUCACCAAGUCAGCCAAACACAGAAGUAUUCUUGGUUACAUGGGAAGCAAAGGUGCCCUAUAGAUGUAGUUUUCCUGGUCCUGCCUGGCCCACGGUCAGGACAAAUCUCUUUCACCCACCAGUCCCACAUCUGCUUAGACCCAACUGAGUAAACACACAGAGACUUAUAUUGCUUGCAAACUGUAUGGCCGCAGCAGGCUUCUUGUUAUCUAGUUCUUCUAUUUUAAAUUAACCCAUUUCUAUUAGUCUAUAAGUUGCCACGUGGCUCGUGGCUUAUUGGUACCUUACAUCUUGCUUGUCAUGGUGGAGGCUGGCAGUGUCUCUCUUGACUCAGCCUUCCUGUUCCCAGAAUUCUCCUCUCUCCUUGUCCCAUCUAUACUUCCUGCCUGGCUACUGGCCAAUCAGUGUUUUAUUUAUUAACCAAUCAGAUCAACACAUUUAACAUACAGAACAUCCCACAGUAGUGCCCUAGUCAGAAAUGGAGUUGCUGGCAGCCCAUGAUAAGCUUCCAUCAAAACUCUCUGGCUGGUGCCCACAGGCUCUGGUUUAACCCACACGCUGGUGAAGAAUUAUUCCACAAUUCAGAAAAGCAGAUAGCAAAGUCAAGUCAGUGUUUUCACGGCCCCGGAGGGGAUGAUGGUCACUGGGCUCCCAAGGUGGGGCAAGGCCCUCGGCACCUGAUUAGUCACACCUUGAAAUAGGAUAGCAUCCUCAGCUGCCAACCAGGAAAAGAAAACCUGGAGCCCUGCUCCCAGGGAAAGUAUCCUCACACAGGCAGGUGGGUGUAUUUCUCUCUUUGGUCCAAAGCAAUUGGAAUUUGGUAUCUUUUCCCUUGCCUGGUGGGAACUCAGGUCGGGCAUGCCCAUACAGUAGCAGAGCUGCUGCUCUGAGUCAUGUUUAGGGAGACACAGACAACCUCCCUAUCCAUAGUCAAGGAAUCCCCCACACGAUGGAAUUACCUGGAUAAUGACAGACCUCGGGACCAUCUGACGGCAGAAACCUGACUUCACCAUCUCUCUCUUGAAUUCUAUAGACAGGGUACCCGGGGUCUAGGGAGAGUCACUGAUCAAAGCCACAUGGGGGAGUCAGUGAGAUAAACAAACGAGCACCAUACUCCUGGGUCCUUGGGUACCCAAAUGCAAGCCGCUGGAGGACAGGUGGGUUGCAGAGCAUGUAAUUAGAACAAAGGGCUUUUCUGUAUCAGAAAACCUUGACCUCUGUGAGGUCAAAGUUAAAACCUUCCUUUUGUUUAGACAGAAAAGGGGAAGUGAUGAGGAAAUGUCUUUCUGUAGGCUGUGAAAAUAUGUUGCUCUGAUUGGUUGAUAAAUAAAGCCAUUUGGCCAAUGGUAGGGCAGCUUAGAGGCAGGCAGAAAAUCCAAACAGAUAGACAGGAAGAGCCUUGCCGGGCAUGGUGGUGCACGCCUUUAAUCCCAACACUUGGGAGGCAGAGGCAGGUGGAUCUUUGUGAGUUCGAGGCCAGCCUGGUCUACAAAGGACAGCCAGGACUGUUAACACAGAGAAACUCUGUCUCGAAAAACCCAAAAAAAAACAAAAAACAAAAAAAACCAGAUAGACAGGAAGAGAAAGGAGAGGCAAGGCAGAUGCCAGACGCCACCAAAGGAACAACAUGCUGGCAGACCGGUAAGCCUCGGCCACGUGGCAACUUACAGAUUAAUAGAAAUGGGUUAACUUAAGAUAUAAGAGUUAGAUAGC
This is a long non-coding RNA of Peromyscus californicus insignis, 2611 nucleotides long. RefSeq lists it as uncharacterized. The record is from RefSeq and is a predicted model, not a curated record. NCBI's taxonomy places the organism in Eukaryota, Metazoa, Chordata, Mammalia, Rodentia, Cricetidae. The transcript is spliced from 3 exons.